Molecule: ribosomal RNA, 253 nt
Filed under: uncultured bacterium
Lineage: Bacteria
Description: partial 16S ribosomal RNA
Rfam family: Bacterial small subunit ribosomal RNA
Source: RNAcentral
UACGUAGGUGGCAAGCGUUGUCCGGAUUUACUGGGCGUAAAGAGCGCGCAGGCGGUCUUUUAAGUCGAACGUGAAAUCCCCGGGCUCAACCCGGGAACUGCGUCCGAUACUGGCAGGCUUGAAUCCGGGAGAGGGAUGCGGAAUUCCAGGUGUAGCGGUGAAAUGCGUAGAUAUCUGGAGGAACACCGGUGGCGAAGGCGGCAUCCUGGACCGGCAUUGACGCUGAGGCGCGAAAGCCAGGGGAGCAAACGGG